UGUGUAAAGCUGUCAACAAAGCUAUCCCAAGCUUUUCCCAUCCUUUGCUACUCAGUCAGCUCUAAGCCACUUGGGCUUGACCAGGACGUGGAUUAAACCUGAAGACACAGAAACCCCUGCUGCUCUUUCCAAAAACUUCUCUAUCACCCACACCUGCCAUCAGAUUAGGAGAGGUCGGCUGGGCAACUUUCUAGAAGAACUGAAUAUGCUGUUGUCCUCACUCCUUGAGGAUUUCAGCCCUCUACAUUUUUUUGGUGACUUCAACAUCCACCUUGAGAAGCCAUUUUUGCUGCUGACUUCCACUUGGUCCGAGCCUCUUUUGACCUUUGGAGACUUGAUGCCACAGGUUUCUAUAAAUCAGUAACCAACUUGACCUCACCUUUUCACGCUAUCGUAUCACAGAUAAUAUCUUGGUCAAAUCCUUGCACAUCUUGUAUUAUAAUCUUAUUAAUUUUAUUUUACAUCUUCUUCUGCACCACCAACCCUACUAACAGUUUCGUUUAGACAAAAUCUAAGGUCUCUAUCUCCUCCUUGAUUUGCCUCUGUGGUAUCAUCCUCUCUUCCCACCCCCAAACACUUAAAAUCAUUAGAUGGAAUUCUGCCACAAAAAUGCUAUUUUCUACGUCACAUCUACUGGUCACAGGGGUUCCUCAGGGAUCUGUUCUUGGGCCCCUUCUCUUCUCUAUAUACACUACACCACUGGGACCCAUCUUUCAGCUGACCUUAAAAGAUCACAUUGAAAAAAAAAAAAAAAAAAACAGAGAAAAAAAACAGCAUAAUCAUCCAGGUUUGCACUACAAAACAGAGAACAGAGCAUGCAAUCACAAACAGGCCCUAGUCAUUUCUAGGUUGGACUAUUGCAUUGCUCUUCUGGCUGGACUUCCAACAAUCAAACCUCUGCAAAUGGUUCAAAAUGCAACAGCAUGUCUUGUUUUCAAUGAGUAAAAGAAAGCCCAUUUCACAACAGUUCUCAUCGCUCUGUACUGGCCUACAGUCAUGGCUUCAAUCAA
Long non-coding RNA from Carassius gibelio (silver crucian carp), 1010 nucleotides. RefSeq lists it as uncharacterized. The transcript is spliced from 2 exons. The record is from RefSeq and is a predicted model, not a curated record. Lineage: Eukaryota; Metazoa; Chordata; Actinopteri; Cypriniformes; Cyprinidae.